This 337-nucleotide unclassified non-coding RNA is filed under the name soil metagenome. RNAcentral describes it as "partial contains 5.8S ribosomal RNA, internal transcribed spacer 2, and large subunit ribosomal RNA". The stretch from base 1 to 120 matches the Rfam family "5.8S ribosomal RNA", at positions 35 to 154 of the family's 154-position model. The record is from RNAcentral.
GAUGAAGAACGUAGCGAAAUGCGAUAAGUAAUGUGAAUUGCAGAAUUCAGUGAAUCAUCGAAUCUUUGAACGCACAUUGCGCCCUCUGGUAUUCCGGAGGGCAUGCCUGUUCGAGCGUCAUUUCGACCCUCAAGCAUUGCUUGGUGUUGGGGCACCGCCUGUAAAAGGGCGGGCCCUGAAAUCUAGUGGCGAGCUCGCCAGGACCCCGAGCGUAGUAAUUAUAUUUCGUUCUGGAAGGCCCUGGCGGUGCCCUGCCGUUAAACCCCCAACUUCUGAAAAUUUGACCUCGGAUCAGGUAGGAAUACCCGCUGAACUUAAGCAUAUCAAAAGCGGAGGA